RNAcentral lists this unclassified non-coding RNA (138 nucleotides) under uncultured Basidiomycota. Its description in RNAcentral is "sequence contains ITS2". The record is from RNAcentral. Lineage: Eukaryota; Fungi; Basidiomycota.
AUCCUCUGCAGCAAUGCGAUAUGGCCAAUGUCUUUGUUGACUAGGUUUAAAAGAAGCUAGAGGAUGGUCAGUUUAGACUAGCCCGAGUGCUAAGCAUUCUUGGGUCUAGCGCUGGAUUGUCUAUUUCACUAUCUUUUA